Molecule: ribosomal RNA, 480 nt
Filed under: uncultured bacterium
Lineage: Bacteria
Description: bacterial SSU rRNA
Rfam family: Bacterial small subunit ribosomal RNA
Source: RNAcentral
GCCGCGUGCGGGAUGAAGGCCUUCGGGUUGUAAACCGCUUUCAGCAGGGACGAUUGUGACGGUACCUGCAGAAGAAGCCCCGGCCAACUACGUGCCAUGCAGCCGCGGUAAUACGUAGGGGGCAAGCGUUGUCCGGAUUUAUUGGGCGUAAAGAGCUCGUAUGCGGUUUAGUAAGUCGGGUGUGAAAUCUCNGGGCUCAACUCGGAGACGCCACUCGAUACUGCUAUGACUUGAUUUCGGUAGAGGNAGUGUGGAAUUCCUUGUGUAGCGGUGAAAUGCGCANAUAUCUGUAGGAACACCCGUGGCGAAGGCGGCNCUCUGGGCCGAUACUGACGCUGAGGAGCGAAAGCGUGGGUAGCAAACAGGAUUAGAUACCCUGGUAGUCCACGCCGUAAACAUUGGGUACUAGGUGUGGGNCUCUAUUGACGGGUUCCGCGCCGAAGCUAACGCAUUANUUACCCCGCCUGGGGAGUACGGCCG